AAUCACUUUACAGUCUUGUUAUGGGAAAAAUGUUCAAACAAGACACAGACUUUAAUGCAUCAAAUGCAGUUACAAGUGUCUGGAAAGCUGUGCUGAGGAGUCCAGUUGUCCGCAGUGAUAUGUCAGCUGUCAGGACAGAUCAUAACUGGAUUCAGCCUUGAUAUUAGCCACACAGCAGGAUGUUCACUUAGGUUACAGUAUCUAAAAGAAUAACUAAAUCUCAUGUGGUUUUAUCCAUUACAAUAGCUCUGACAGAGCCAGUUUUGCCUCAGGGCUGUGAAGUCCUGGUGCCAAUAUGAAAGAGAACGGCUGAAGAGCCUCGGAGAACCAAGAAUUACUCUCUCUCCAUUUUCUCUCUCUUUCCUCCCUCUACUGGCAGACAGAAUAAAAUCAUAAAGCAUUUAAAGUUUUCUUUUGGUCUUCAAAGAUGUCUGAAUCUGUAAUUCAGCAAAACUUCCAUCCCUGACUCAUCUGAGCACAAAUAGGUGCCUCAAAGGCCUGCCCACAGUUUCCUUGCUGCUCUGAGGCUAGCCUUGGCUUCAGCCCUGGGCAAGCAUCCAUCACAGGAAUGCUAUAAAAGGGUCAGGGUCCACGAGUGUCUUAGACAGAAAAUAACCCAAGAGGGAGCCUGGUGCAACUGGCUGCCUGAGGCCAGGCUGACUAUUAUCAUCCCAGAAUUGCCGAGGUGUGAAGGCACCUCUGGAGGUCUCCAGGCCAAUCCUUGCUCAGAGCAGGGUCACCUAAGACAGGUUGCCAAGGGCUGUUUCCAGCUGGGUUUUGAAUAUCUCCAAGGAUGUAGACUCCACAACUCUUAUGGGGCAGCCUCUUUGCAGUCUGACCAUCUUCAUGGUAAAAAAGCUUUUUCUUAUAUUUAAUUGGAAUUUCCUGUAUUUUGCUUUGUGCCCAUUGCUUCUUAAUCUUUGAUUGGGCACCACUGAGAAGUACCUGGCUGUGUCUUCUUUACUCCCCUGACAUGGAUAAGAUCCCACUGAGCCUUCUCAUCUGCAGGCUGUACUGGUGCAUGGGGUUGCUCCUCCACAGGUGCUGGACUUUUCACUUCUGCUUGUUGAAAUCCAUUAUGUUCCUGUCAACCUGUUUUUGUUAGGUCCCUCUUGAUGGCAGCACAACCUUCUGGCAUACCAACCACUCCUCUCAAUUUUGGAUCAUCUGAGGGUGCACUCUUCCUCCUCAUCCAGGUCAUUAACAAAGAUGUUAAACAAGUAUUAGUCCCACUUUUAGCCCCUGGGGUAUGCUGCUAGGAACUGGCCCCCAGGUGGAAUGGAAAAAGAAGAAACACAUCUUCUUUAGAAGCUGUGUGUUGUCCUAUGUACUGCACAGAUCAAGGACAAGAAAAUGCUGUUGGUUUCCAUACAUGAGUGGAUUUAUGGAGCUGUGAUAAAGGGAUGGAGCUCCUGAGCAACAACAGUUUCAUUGCUUCCUGUCUGGGAGAAAAAAAUGGCCAAUGUCCUUUGCUUCCAACUCAGCUAGUGUGGGAGAUCCUGAUGAACUCUUUCACUAGCAGUUUUCCUCAGAUCUUGAGAUCUUACUAUACAACCACCAAUAACAUUGCUUGGAAACACACCACAGGCUUCAAUACAUAUGCACCUCAGCCACCUGUAUCAUACCUGCCCCCUUGAUACAACAUUUUUUGGACUAGAAGAGUCACUGUUAAUGAAAAUACAACCUGUGUCAUUCUCUUCCUUCCAGAAGCUUCUGAGGGUGCUAACAGCAAAAUUUGUAAAUAUCCAGUAUUGGUGUUAAAUGAUUUUACACCCCAGAGUUUUAGACUUCUCCAUCUGUAUUGCCUACUGGCUUAUAUCUUCUGAAAUGCAAUCUCUGAGUAUAAAAUUAGAUGAUAUAGCAGCUAACACUUUUUUAAAGGUCUUCUCCUGCUGAAAGAAUGCCUGUCCAGCUGCAUUAAGAGAAAUAUGACCCUUUUAAAUCUACUUACUCCCCCCGACAGAAGAAAGCUAUAUUCUGUUCUGCCUUAGUCAAUUUAGUAGCAGCCAUUUCAAAAACAGCCUUCAGCAUCUUAAAAGAAACCAUGCUGUUGACAAAGCUGCUAAAAAAAAGGCCCUCAUAAAAUGCACGAGUAAUAAAAGGUAUUCUCUUGAAACAGCUUGUGAAAUAAUGGGAGGUAUACUGGACUGAAGUUAAAUUUUGCUGUUUGAUUACUGACACCUCAAUGAAAAGGUUUUUCUCUCUUUCCUGGUCUGUAUGGGAGUUAUUUGGAACAGAUUUGCUUUAGAUUUAGUACACUUUUAAAACUGACAGUGUAAGAAGCCAUCUUUAAUCAUCUCCUUCACCAUUAGGAGAGCUCUUAGUCUUUCUUCCGAGCUUCUUUGAAGUUUUUAAUCUGUUGCAGACUGGAUGGUUCACAGCUUCUCUUCUGAGUGACAUAGAAGGAACCUGUGUAUUGUGGUAAGAUGCAGUUCUCGUAAGACUUCUUUAAAUCCUCUGUAUAGAAGGUUCACCUCCUUAUUGGAAUCUGUUAAUCUACAACACCUUUGGCCAUGUUUUAUAUGGCUAUUUUAAUGUAGCACUAAAUAGUCUCUAACUCUGCUUCUCCCCAAACUGCAGUUCUUCAAAGGACAAUAGCUCUGCUUCCACAGAUCAUAGAUAAUCCCAUGCACUAAGGAGGAAUAUGCCACCCAGGGAUCCAGUUGUUUAGGACUGCCAUAAUUAUUUACUAUCACAAUACUUGCAGGUCUGAGGUUUUUUCUUUUUUUAUUAUUUGUUUAUUUCUGCAAAGGUUUAUGGGAACACAGUUCAAUCAUCACUUUGCCAAAAUAAAAAUUAAAUAUCUCCAUUCUAAUCUGAAAGUAUUGCAGUGAAGGGGUGCCAGUAGGGUGUUUACUCACAGGAAUGUAAUGUCAUAAGCAGUGGUAAUAAACUAGUUGGCUUUUUUUGUCCUGGGUAAAUAUACAAUGCAAGUGAUGCAGAUGGCCCCUCAAACUCUGGUAUCCUGGCAUGCCUGUUUAUGGUGUCAAAAAGCUGAAUCCUUUGGAAACACCUGCAGAAGAAGGAAUAUGAAGGAUUUUGCAAUGGAGUGGUGUCCAUUGGAUGACAUAUGAUGAAAAAAUGCCCAAGUGCUAAUCAAGGUUAGUUAUUCUCCAAGCACAUUAUCCAUCAGGGGUAGCUCAGAACUUAUGGACUGCCAUGUUAAGUGCUGCAAAAGUAAUCCCUGGAGGACUAAGCAAAAGCCAUGGCUAUUUCUUACCCAUGUAAGAGAUUUUGAAAACUGUUUUCCAAUCAUAGGGCUGGUGUGUUUCCAUUACACUUGCUUUCCAAGAGAUCCAGCUGCGUAACUAACUGCACUGGAAAAGCAGAUUUGGCAUUUUGUUGGAAUAGCCAGGUGCUGACUUUGCUGGGAAUAGUGAUGGAAACCUCCCUGUUACUUAUGCAUUCUGCAAAGCAUCGUAUCUGAGUGUUGCAGGCAUGGGAAAUACCCUCCAACAUGUGGGAUUUAGGAAGCUGUUACAAUCAACUCAGCAAUAACCUCUUCCUUCUCCCUUUUCUCUUUCUAGAGGUACGAGUCUUUCAGUCCAGGAAGCCUGAUGCUGUUUGGCAUGUGGUCUUUGUACUUCUUCAGGUUAAAAUUAACCAAGAGUUACCCCAUUUUUGUAUUCUUUUGUUUAGAAAAAAGCUGUGAGAGUCCUGUCCCUGCCUGUCAUUUCUCAAAACCUUGGUUUGGUUUCUUGGAAAUGAGCACUUGCCCUUCCGGCAAUAUCAGUUAUCCAGAAUUCUUCUCAUCUGGGUGAUAACAGCACUUGGCUGCAUACUCUGGGACAUGAGGGUCAAUGGACUUGGCUCUCAGCAACUUGGAGGCCAAAAAUCUGCCAGGCACAGGAUUGGAAACCUAGAUCCUACUAAGAGAGCAAGAGCCAAGACCUUUUGGAGAUUGCUACCUUUAAGGUACAAAAGAAGAGUGUCAGGUACUGGAUGUCAUCUGCAUAACCUGACUCUGGAAGGGGGGAUGUUACUGGGGAAAAGUGGGACCUGCAAAUAGAAUGAGGUGGCUUGGCUGUACACCAGCUGCUGUGUGCACAUCUGAAGGGCUGUGUGGCUUUGCUGGGAAGCAGUGUGAUGUCCUGGGUAAAACAUGGAGGUGGCACUAGGAAUCCUGCAUGGUCCAUCAGACCCUGCCUAAAUGAGAAUUUCUCAGAGGGAAGGAAGUGUAUUCAAUGCAGAGUGGGUUUAAGUUUGGUUUCCAAAGGAAAAAAAGCUUGUGCAAGCACAGCAUUUUUGUCUGCCCAUGUUUGCUGUCACUUUACCAAUUCUUCCCUCAUUAUUUGUCAACUCAUUUACCUAUUUAACCAGGUUUGACUGGGGGACGAUGGUGCAGAAGAUACAAAGUGGUGGCUGGGUCAUGGAGUGACAUAAUGACAGUACUUCCAAACGAGUGCCACCACCAAGGGAAAGGCUUACAUUUUGCUACUAGUCAUUAGCCCCUACGCAUUAGCUGUACAGUCCAGCUCAAAGCACUCCCAGCAGAUGUGGUUUCCAGCCCAGCAAGGAAAGAAUAAAAGGCUAGAAGUAUAGCAGGAAAAGGGAUAGAUUGAAGGGUGCUGUGAGGGGUGUGAAGAGGUAUGAAGGGGUUAGAAGAAGAUAAGGGACGAGAAAGGAAUGGGAAUUAUGUGACUGAAUGGGAAAGCCAGCUUAAUUAGUUGUGCUCUCACAGAGGUUCUUGCUGUUUGCAUCAGUGGCCUUUGGGCUGCAGUUUCAGCUGUCAGAAGUUGCUAUGUUUCCAGAAGAAAGGAAGAGGACCAAAUAAUUUACAUUUAUUUUCUAUUUGUCCUGAUCCACAUUCUGGCAUCUGCAAAUCUAGGUUUUCCUUUAGGCCACUUUUUCUGUCUUCAUUUCCCUUUUAUGAAGGUCUGCAGAGUAACAGAGACAUUCUUCCUGCUUCCUUACUCUGAAAUGUCACUAUGUCCGCUUUUUGGUAUCUGUGAUACCUCCUGUCAUUUUUCACCAGGCUUUUUUUCUGUGUUUGUAUCCUUUUUUUAUCUUUUUUCUCCUUUUCUAUAUUCUGUUGUUCCUUCAUUUCAUGCUUGCCUUUUUUCUGCCUCUUGUCUUCCUGUCAUCUGCCACUUCCAUUUUGAAGUUACUCUCUUCAUCUACCAACUGAAAGGGCAGGUCCAACUAGAUCAGACAUCCAGCCAUUCAAAAAAGGACUCAUACAGAAAAGUCAGAUUUAAAUCUUUCAUACAGGAUUUUUUUUCUGGGCACUACACUCAAAUUGUUGUUCUUAUUCUUAAAUAUGACCCCUCUUCCUCUCCAAGGAGCUAUAACAUGAAAAGAUGCUUACACAAAUAGGCACCCACCUGAACACCACUAACCUGGGCUUAUUUCCUCAUACUUCUUUUUAAAUGAAAACCUACUGGCUGCCUUGAAAGAUAUUGUCUAAACAAGCACGUAACAGUCCCUUAGAGAGAUGAUCUCUCCAGGUUUAUACAAAUUCAUUACUCCAUCACUCCACCCACUUCUAAGAAAAGGAUUUUUCCGUAUUUUCUUCUCUUCUGCAAAGCACUUUUCCCACAGAUUAUUUUUAAACCUUCACUACAAAAAAUAAAAUAAAAAAUCGACAAAAAUUAAGUAAUAAAAUUAAAUUAUCCUGAUUUAGUCAUGUUAAGGGGCACAGUCAGACUACGUGAAAUCUGUUCUUUAAUGUCUAGCCAUGAUGGGAAUGAUCACAUAAAGGCAGAUGAAACAAAAAAAAAAGGUGAGUGGAGAGGUGUGUUUAAAAGGUUUGGUAAGCACUAUCCCAUGGAGGUAUCAGGUCAGCUAGCUGGUUUGACUGAAUGGCUGGGGUUUUCCUUAGGACUGGCUGCUCCCAGGGUAAGUUUUGGGGAUCCACAAGCGAGCACAGUAUUCUUGUAGCAUCAUUCCCCACCCAUAUGAAUGCACUGCAACCUCUCAGGACACUCUUGAGCUUCUGCUCCUUCAUCCAAAUGGGAGAAAUCACAGUCCCAAAAGGAGCUCUUGGGUUUUACAGGCUGCUAGGCUGGCCUGGUAGUAGGUUAGGUGUUUAGAUGGAAUGUCAGCAUUAAAUAUUUUCUCACCUUUAGACCAGUUCACCUCUUCAUUGUCUUAAGAUGCAGACAGUUUUAUGCCUAGCUAGGAAAAAGAACUGAGGAUAUCAAGUAUCUGCACUUUUAAACACUACCAGCCAUUUCUCCAAAUUUAUUACAGCAAAUUGCUGAUGGAGGAAAAAACAGGAUUUACCUGCAUACAUAUAAAUAAUAUUUCUGCUACUUACUUCUUCAGACCUCUGAAGAUUUGGCUUUCUUCCCUCUCUCUCUCUUUCCCCAUCCUGCAUCUGAAAUCUGCCUUAUUUCUUCCUGCACUACCUUUGGUGUCUAGACUCUCUCUUUCGUGUUUCAUUACAACAGUGUUGUUUUCCCUCACCCACUGGCUGUUCCUUUUAACAGUGGCUUUCAUUUGGAAGGAACUUCAGCUCUGAAAUACCCAGGAGCUCCUGAUCGUUAGAUCCUACAGCCCAGGUUGUUAGGUUUUUCUCCCACUUCAGACUUGUACCCUCCAAAAAAGCACUGCUCUUUUACAGGGAAGCAACUUAAAUGCCACACAUCAUCAUGCCCCACCACUGAGAGUCCCAAGGUAAGUCAGGGACUGCAUUACUGUGUAUCUCCUCCCUGGUACUGAGAGAGCCGUAAAUACACAUGCUAAGAGUUGAGACAGAUUAUAUUUGGGAAGUGCUGCCUUGGGUGUGAAUUAGUCUUUACUAAUGUUUCUUUAGGUUUUUGUAGGGAUAAAUUUGACUUUUCUUGUUGACACUAAGAUCUCCUGAUUUUGUGGAAGCAUGAGGCACCCACAACCCCUCCUCUCAACUCAAUCAAAUGUGAUAUAUUUUAUAUAAGUAAUGUUAAAUAAAUGCAAUUUUAAAAAAACAAACACAUCAAACCCAGUUCUAAAAGUUGCUGCUCAGUACUGUGACCUGAAAGUAGGGGUUGGUAAAAUAUUUGAUUGAGUUGUCUUUAUCUUAUUGUUGAUUUUUCAUGUUCAAAUUGUGUGACUCAUACGCUUAAACUUCCCUCUCCAUACACAGUUUCCUUGCAGAAAUCAGAGCAAUGUGAGCAGAGCUGCCUGCUCCUUGAGGUUCUGGUCAUGGUGCUGAAUGAGCAUCACUUUCUGGUUGGUGGCCAUUUGUCCUGGCGGUGACUGGGUGGUGUGGAAGUGUCUGCCAGUUGUCCUAGACCCUGCAGCCCUAUGGGUGUGCACAUGCCUCUGUGCCAACCUCUUCCCCGUGGCCUGUGUUUUGUUUUGCCCAUUUCUCCUGUGGCUUGCCUUCAUGUCAGGUUGCAGUGAGAGCUGUUGGACACGGGACCUUUUGUAGAAGACAUCUCCUGGGCUAGAUGUUCUCUUCUCCCUCCUGGGAUGCACUCUUUUUUGCUGGACUGCAGAUGAACCGUAUCACUUUAGUCCAUGUGUUUUAAGGUUGUGAACCACUGCGAAAGACUGGAGAUGCACCCUGUAACUUGGAAAAAACCUCUGGAUCAGGAUUGGUAACGAGCAGAAGGAUUUAUAUGAAAGUUCACCCUAGAAAGCCUGCAGUGGGAACGUCUUCUGGGAGCAGAAUGCAAGCACGACUUGUGUGUGAAAUUACAUCAAGAGACACCAAACUGGAGAAAAAAAGAUGGAUUGCAUACUUAACGCUGGCAUGGAAAAGGAAAAUCUGGGUGUAUACUUGCAAUAUCUGGAACAUGAAAUCGUGGCAGUGGUUUUAAUUACUUACAGAAUCUAGCAGUUUGGAGACUAGAGACAUUCCCAGUUAGUGGCUGUAUCACAGACAUGAAGUUACUAUACCAAUUUUGACUGCAUUUUUGCAACCAUAUAGUGGAUUUUGAACAUUUAGUCAUGUGUUCUGGACAUUUCUGCUUUUAGCUCUCUGUUCAGCCAAGAUUUGAUGUUGUAUAUGAGGCAUAUCUAACAUGUUAAUGAAAAAAUAAACUUAUUAAUUCCA
This is a long non-coding RNA of Apus apus (common swift), 7981 nucleotides long. RefSeq lists it as uncharacterized. Lineage: Eukaryota; Metazoa; Chordata; Aves; Apodiformes; Apodidae. The record is from RefSeq and is a predicted model, not a curated record. The transcript is spliced from 5 exons.